Molecule: ribosomal RNA, 484 nt
Filed under: uncultured bacterium
Lineage: Bacteria
Description: bacterial SSU rRNA
Rfam family: Bacterial small subunit ribosomal RNA
Source: RNAcentral
GAUGAACGUUGGCGGCGUGCCUAAUACAUGCAAGUCGAACGAAGACUGUAGUAAUACUGUCUUAGUGGCGAACGGGUGAGUAACGCGUGGGUGACCUGCCCCGAAGUGUGGGAUAACAGUCCGAAAGGAUUGCUAAUACUGCAUAAUAUCCAAGAGAUUAGAUGCUUUUGGAUUAAAGGAGUAAUUCGCUUCGGGAGGGGCCCGCGUCCCAUCAGCUAGUUGGUAAGGUAAUGGCUUACCAAGGCGAUGACGGGUAGGGACCUGAGAGGGUGGCCCCCCAAAUGGAACUGAAACACGGUCCAUACACCUACGGGUGGCAGCAGUAGGGAAUAUUAGUAAUGGGCGAAAGCCUGAACUAGCAACGCCGCGUGUGCGAAGAAGGCCUUCGGGUCGUAAAGCACUUUUUGAGAGGAUGAGGAAGGACGGUACUCUCAGAAUAAGUCUCGGCUAACUACGUGCCAGCAGCCGCGGUAAAGUGUGUGUA